This 22-nucleotide microRNA is filed under the name Monopterus albus (swamp eel). RNAcentral's name for it is "Mal-Mir-8160-P2_5p (mature (guide))". The record is from RNAcentral. Lineage: Eukaryota; Metazoa; Chordata; Actinopteri; Synbranchiformes; Synbranchidae.
AGAAUAAUGCCAGCAGUCGGCU